GAAUUCGCCCUUAGAGUUUGAUCCUGGCUCAGGACGAACGCUGGCGGCGCGCCUAACACAUGCAAGUCGAACGAGAGAUGAGGAGCUUGCUCUUCAAAUCGAGUGGCGAACGGGUGAGUAACGCGUGAGGAACCUGCCUCAAAGAGGGGGACAACAGUUGGAAACGACUGCUAAUACCGCAUAAGCCCACAGCUCGGCAUCGAGCAGAGGGAAAAGGAGCAAUCCGCUUUGAGAUGGCCUCGCGUCCGAUUAGCUAGUUGGUGAGGUAACGGCCCACCAAGGCGACGAUCGGUAGCCGGACUGAGAGGUUGAACGGCCACAUUGGGACUGAGACACGGCCCAGACUCCUACGGGAGGCAGCAGUGGGGAAUAUUGCACAAUGGGGGAAACCCUGAUGCAGCGACGCCGCGUGGAGGAAGAAGGUCUUCGGAUUGUAAACUCCUGUUGUUGAGGAAGAUAAUGACGGUACUCAACAAGGAAGUGACGGCUAACUACGUGCCAGCAGCCGCGGUAAAACGUAGGUCACAAGCGUUGUCCGGAAUUACUGGGUGUAAAGGGAGCGCAGGCGGGAGAACAAGUUGGAAGUGAAAUCCAUGGGCUCAACCCAUGAACUGCUUUCAAAACUGUUUUUCUUGAGUAGUGCAGAGGUAGGCGGAAUUCCCGGUGUAGCGGUGGAAUGCGUAGAUAUCGGGAGGAACACCAGUGGCGAAGGCGGCCUACUGGGCACCAACUGACGCUGAGGCUCGAAAGUGUGGGUAGCAAACAGGAUUAGAUACCCUGGUAGUCCACACCGUAAACGAUGAUUACUAGGUGUUGGAGGAUUGACCCCUUCGGUGCCGCAGUUAACACAAUAAGUAAUCCACCUGGGGAGUACGACCGCAAGGUUGAAACUCAAAGGAAUUGACGGGGGCCCGCACAAGCAGUGGAGUAUGUGGUUUAAUUCGACGCAACGCGAAGAACCUUACCAAGUCUUGACAUCCCUUGACGAACAUAGAAAUAUGUUUUCUCUUCGGAGCAAGGAGACAGGUGGUGCAUGGUUGUCGUCAGCUCGUGUCGUGAGAUGUUGGGUUAAGUCCCGCAACGAGCGCAACCCUUAUGGUCAGUUACUACGCAAGAGGACUCUGGCCAGACUGCCGUUGACAAAACGGAGGAAGGUGGGGAUGACGUCAAAUCAUCAUGCCCUUUAUGACUUGGGCUACACACGUACUACAAUGGCGUUAAACAAAGAGAAGCAAGACCGCGAGGUGGAGCAAAACUCAGAAACAACGUCCCAGUUCGGACUGCAGGCUGCAACUCGCCUGCACGAAGUCGGAAUUGCUAGUAAUCGUGGAUCAGCAUGCCACGGUGAAUACGUUCCCGGGCCUUGCACACACCGCCCGUCA
RNAcentral lists this ribosomal RNA (1382 nucleotides) under uncultured bacterium. RNAcentral describes it as "bacterial SSU rRNA". It matches the Rfam family "Bacterial small subunit ribosomal RNA". The record is from RNAcentral.